UGGCUCCGGCAACACGUGGCUU
Molecule: microRNA, 22 nt
Filed under: Hyalella azteca
Lineage: Eukaryota; Metazoa; Arthropoda; Malacostraca; Amphipoda; Hyalellidae
Description: miR-467a
Source: RNAcentral